AAGUCGUAACAAGGUUUCCGUAGGUGAACCUGCGGAAGGAUCAUUAUCGAGUUUGUGGGGGGUGGAUUGAUGCUGGCUGCACUUGUGUGGCAUGUGCUCGUCUCCCUCUUCGUCCCACUCUCAACCCCAUGUGCACCGUGAGGGGUGUUGGUCCCGCCAGUCGGGACGGACGCCUCGAACCCCCCUACACACACAAACCAGUAUGAACCGAAUGUAAUAAUUUGAUAAAUCAUUACAACUUUCAACAACGGAUCUCUUGGCUCUC
This 265-nucleotide unclassified non-coding RNA is filed under the name air metagenome. RNAcentral describes it as "partial contains small subunit ribosomal RNA, internal transcribed spacer 1, and 5.8S ribosomal RNA". The stretch from base 1 to 46 matches the Rfam family "Eukaryotic small subunit ribosomal RNA", at positions 1786 to 1831 of the family's 1831-position model. The record is from RNAcentral.